Molecule: non-coding RNA, 1462 nt
Organism: Zootermopsis nevadensis
Lineage: Eukaryota; Metazoa; Arthropoda; Insecta; Blattodea; Termopsidae
Source: RefSeq, a predicted model, not a curated record
AAUGUUCUUAAGGUAUGAAAAUUGUUCAUCACACAUCCUGAUUGUAUAGGAAACUAGCUUGAAACAAUCCUACUAAUAGUGCUUCACACGUCUGUAUAAACGCGGUCAAUGCUAUGAGCGUCCUUUUACAGUCAGCGAUAACGUUUCUGCCUUACAAUGCACAGAUAUGAGAAAUAAACUAGUCCAUAGGUUUUCUCUGCGAGUGUUGAAUGUUUCAUGUUAACCAACAUUUCGGCAAACAAUGUAAUUUCGGUCUGGAAUUAAUAGAUACGAAAUUUGUGGAAACAUCUUCCCAUCGGAUCACGCCAUUGAAUACAGUGAAGAAGUGAAGGCCGCGACAUCCCAGAAGACAGGAAUCUUCGUAUCUGUCGCCGUGUGAACAUGAAAUCUUACCCUCAAUCUGUGUAAUUCCUUCCGCUGACUGUGAAUAUCCUUUCCCACAAGCAAAUAGUUUUUGUGCCACAUGUCGAAAUAUGUGCAAUGCAAAUCAAAAGUUUAAGACAGUAAGCUUAAGUUUUAUACGCAAAUUUUAAAUGCCAGUUUAUUCAUCUUAUGAUAAGUUUCUCAACUUAAACCUUGCACCAAUUUGCAGGGAAGUAUCUGAACCUGGUAAUGUAAGAUAAGAGAGAUGUAAAAUACAGACUGCCUUAUUCAAAGGGCAAUAACCCAUUUCUUUUCCAGCAGAAACUAAAGCUAUCUGAGACAGAUACUAGAUACAAGGCACUUCUUAUUUUCUCUCACUUCAAGUACUUGACCUUCAGACGAGGACCGAAGAAUACAAAGUUUCCCAUUAGACCAUAUUCUGAGCCAGCUUAAUACAGUCUAUACCCUCACACACCACCUAAGAUCCAUUUUAAUAUUAUCCAUCAUGUUUCUGUCAAGCCAUAUUGUAGCAUGAGAUUACUUAUACCAAUAUUAUAUUUUAGCAGAGGUCGUAGAACAAUGAUUUUUAUUGAAGUACACUUUGAAGUGUGGUGUAUUUGUGUAUUUUUGUAAAUCAUGGCCACCUUUUUAAACCCUGAGUUGCUUGCAUUAUAAUAAAUUAACAGAUGCCACCUUUGAGGAUGACCUUUCAAGGGUUGAAACAUAUUUGAUCAUCAGAAUUUAUACGUCAAAUGUAUCUAGAACAUGUUCGUAUACCUGAGCUCGAUCCUUGAAAGUUUGAGUUCCGAUGGGGACGUCGAGCUGAAGAAGAGGUAUCUCCACAUUCACUGCUUGUGUUUGUCAGUUUGGUUUAUGGUACUGACACAAAAAAUUGGAUCACACAUUACCAGAUGGUGUUAGACUGAAAAAAUAAACGUGAAAAGAAGUAAUUGGUAACGUUUUAAGAUGUAUACUUAUGAUGUGAGCAAAACACUAGCACUUUUCAAUGCAUGGUCUUCAAACUCUGUAUAGUGAGAGAUCUCUGAAACGUAAUUAAACUAUUUAAAAAAAAAAAAAUGGAAAAUAACUUAUAAACUGG